CGGAGGUUCAGCCCGACAGCCUGCUGUGCUCGCCUUCUCUGCCCCCUCGGAAGAAGUUCAGGAGCUGGGAACCCGCCGGGCGCCACCAAUCUGCGAAGCAGGGCAUGGAAGAAUCAGAUGGAGGCCUGAGUCUCGGCUUUGAAACUGACUGGCCUGGGUUACCUUGGGCAAGCUACUUAACCUCUCGGAGCCUCGGUUUCCUCCUCUGUAAAUUCGGAUGACAAUAGCACCGACCUACCUGCAGGGAAGUGGAGGUUCUGACUGGGGGUUGUGAUGCAGGUACAACGCUCAGCACAGUGCUUGGCAUGUAGUAAGCAUAAUAAAUGUUAAUUGUGGUGGUGGCUGUCAUUAUUUCAGAAGACGUGGUGAAAGGAUGCUUCCGGACACUUAUUGAUUCCCAGUAAAUGUCUCAACCUCCCUGAGCCUCAGUUUCCUCAUCUGUAAAAUGGAGGGGAGGUGUCACUCCUUGGACUGUGGUGUUGAUUAAUGAGAUGAUGAUGACAAAGGCAAAUAAAUACAGAUGUAAAUUUAA
Equus caballus (horse) is the source of this 532-nucleotide non-coding RNA. NCBI's taxonomy places the organism in Eukaryota, Metazoa, Chordata, Mammalia, Perissodactyla, Equidae. The record is from RefSeq and is a predicted model, not a curated record.